UGAGUAACACGUGGGUAAUCUGCCCUGCACUCUGGGAUAAGCCUGGGAAACUGGGUCUAAUACUGGAUAUGACCUUUCUCCUUAUGGGGUUUGGUGGAAAGUUUUUCGGUGUAGGAUGAGCCCGCGGCCUAUCAGCUUGUUGGUGGGGUGAUGGCCUACCAAGGCGACGACGGGUAGCCGGCCUGAGAGGGUGAUCGGCCACAUUGGGACUGAGAUACGGCCCAG
This 225-nucleotide ribosomal RNA is filed under the name uncultured Actinomycetales bacterium. Its description in RNAcentral is "partial 16S ribosomal RNA". It matches the Rfam family "Bacterial small subunit ribosomal RNA", at positions 107 to 334 of the family's 1533-position model. The record is from RNAcentral. Lineage: Bacteria; Bacillati; Actinomycetota; Actinomycetes; Actinomycetales.